GACGAACGCUGGCGGCGCGCCUAACACAUGCAAGUCGAACGAGCGAGAGAGAGCUUGCUUUCUCAAGCGAGUGGCGAACGGGUGAGUAACGCGUGAGGAACCUGCCUCAAAGAGGGGGACAACAGUUGGAAACGACUGCUUAUACCGCAUAAGCCCACAGGUCGGCGUCGACCAGAGGGAAAAGGAGCAAUCCGCUUUGAGAUGGCCUCGCGUCCGAUUAGCUAGUUGGUGAGGUAACGGCCCACCAAGGCAACGAUCGGUAGCCGGACGGAGAGGUUGAACGGCCACAUUGGGACUGGGACCCGGCCCAGACUCCAACGGGAGGCAGCAAUGGGGGAUAUUGCACAAUGGGGGAAACCCUGAGGCAGCGACGCCGGGUGGAGGAAGAAGGUCUUGGGAUUGGAAUCUCCUGUUGUUGAGGAAGAUAAUGACGGUACUCAACAAGGAAGUGACGGCUAACUACGUG
Molecule: ribosomal RNA, 466 nt
Filed under: uncultured bacterium
Lineage: Bacteria
Description: partial 16S ribosomal RNA
Rfam family: Bacterial small subunit ribosomal RNA
Source: RNAcentral